This is a small nucleolar RNA of Malania oleifera, 106 nucleotides long. Lineage: Eukaryota; Viridiplantae; Streptophyta; Magnoliopsida; Santalales; Ximeniaceae. The record is from RefSeq and is a predicted model, not a curated record.
ACUUGAUUGUGAGGGUAUUUACACAAGAGGUCCCUAAAGCACUCCUAUGUCUCAAAAAAUUGUUCCCCAUCCAAUUAUAAGAAACUAGUGAUUGCCUUCCUCAGCU